CGCGUAGGUGGUUGUGUAAGUCGGAUGUGAAAUCCCCAGGCUCAACUUGGGAACCGCAUCUGAUACUGCAUGACUAGAGUACAGCAGAGGGAAACGGAAUUCCUGGUGUAGAGGUGAAAUUCGUAGAUAUCAGGAGGAACACCGGUGGCGAAGGCGGUUUCCUGGGCUGAUACUGACACUGAGGCGCGAAAGCGUGGGUAGCAAACAGGAUUAGAUACCCUGGUAGUCCACGCUGUAAACGGUGAGUGCUGGGUGUGGGGAGGUGUAAUGCCUUCUGUGCCGAAGCUAACGCGUUAAGCACUCCGCCUGGGGAGUACGGCCGCAAGGUUGAA
This 332-nucleotide ribosomal RNA is filed under the name uncultured bacterium. RNAcentral describes it as "bacterial SSU rRNA". It matches the Rfam family "Bacterial small subunit ribosomal RNA", at positions 568 to 898 of the family's 1533-position model. The record is from RNAcentral.